This 573-nucleotide non-coding RNA is filed under the name unclassified sequences. RNAcentral describes it as "ROOL RNA". It matches the Rfam family "ROOL RNA". From Rfam's summary of the family: Firmicutes, Fusobacteria (1 example), Tenericutes (1 example). The record is from Rfam by way of RNAcentral.
AACAGAAUAUUGUCUACUGCCUAACUAUGUGAAGAAGGUGUCAACUUGCAUAGAAGUGGUGUAUGUGGCGGCGGUAAAUGACAGAUAUGUUAUUGUUCUAGCCGUUCUGACAUUGGCGACAGUGUUGGAAAAUCUGGAAACCGGAAAUCACAAGCUGCUGUGCUGGUUCUACUGGUCACUAAAGGUCGGGUACUGCUGGUCUGGAUAAUAGACGCUACUGUGUAGAAUAAGCCUGAUUGGACGGUGUGGAAACCGUAAACCAUAUGGUAAUCCAAACAACCAGAUUCGUCUUGAUGUUGUGGAAACGCAACUAUAACAGCAGUCGUUCGGUGGAGUAGCCCAAUGACGUUACGAAUUGAAGAUUUAGAUACAUGUUUUUUUGUAAUCCUAAAUUUCUGAAUGAUGGGUGAAACUUGCUGGUACUCAAUCCAGCUACGACUUAGAGGUGCUUGCACCUGUGGCAAGAAGUUUAGUGGAGACGUUCCCUAGGCUCAGACUUGUCGCUCGUAUGACCGAAUAUAGUGGAUGGUAGAGAUUGGUAGGGCGAAGGUCCAGGCGGUAGGCAAUAUUCUG